RNAcentral lists this long non-coding RNA (203 nucleotides) under Gossypium barbadense (sea-island cotton). RNAcentral describes it as "long non-coding RNA (GBAR_LNC006379)". Lineage: Eukaryota; Viridiplantae; Streptophyta; Magnoliopsida; Malvales; Malvaceae. The record is from RNAcentral.
GAAAAAAGAAAAUAGAAAACUAAUAAGAUGAAAAUCAUAUUUUGAUAACUUCUCCCCAAUUAUCUCCUAAAAACACUCCCUAUUAACCCACUAGAACACAACUACUCAGAAGUCCAAUUUAAUUUGAACUUCACCAUGCCACACGCCUCAAACAAAAAUUAAUUACUCUGCUUGCGCAGAGACUCGAACACAGGACCUCCUAC